UCAAACUUGGUCAUUUAGAGGAAGUAAAAGUCGUAACAAGGUUUCCGUAGGUGAACCUGCGGAAGGAUCAUUACAGAGUAAUGCCCCCCUUAAAGGGGUAGACCUCCUAACCCCAUGUUUACUUUUUUACCUUUGUUGCUUAGACGGUUCGUAAAGUUCCUUUUUUUUAAAGGCUUUCCAUCGGCUUUUUUUUUUAGCUGGUGAGUACCCGUCAAAGGACCUGAAAACUCUGAAAUAUAAGUAUUGUCUGAGUUAAUUUUAAAAUAAUUUUAAAACUUUCAACAACGGAUCUCUUGGUUCUGGCAUCGAUGAAGAACGCAGC
RNAcentral lists this unclassified non-coding RNA (322 nucleotides) under uncultured fungus. RNAcentral's name for it is "partial contains small subunit ribosomal RNA, internal transcribed spacer 1, and 5.8S ribosomal RNA". The stretch from base 1 to 73 matches the Rfam family "Eukaryotic small subunit ribosomal RNA", at positions 1759 to 1831 of the family's 1831-position model. The record is from RNAcentral. Lineage: Eukaryota; Fungi.